This 253-nucleotide ribosomal RNA is filed under the name uncultured bacterium. RNAcentral describes it as "partial 16S ribosomal RNA". It matches the Rfam family "Bacterial small subunit ribosomal RNA", at positions 524 to 776 of the family's 1533-position model. The record is from RNAcentral.
UACGUAGGGUGCGAGCGUUGUCCGGAAUUACUGGGCGUAAAGAGCUCGUAGGUGGUUUGUCGCGUUGUCCGUGAAAACUCACAACUCAAUUGUGGGCGUGCGGGCGAUACGGGCAGACUGGAGUACUGCAGGGGAGACUGGAAUUCCCGGUGUAGCGGUGAAAUGCGCAGAUAUCGGGAGGAACACCAGCGGCGAAGGCGGCACUCUGGGCUGGUACUGACGCUGAGGAGCGAAAGCGUGGGUAGCAAACAGG